This 68-nucleotide transfer RNA is filed under the name Leiopelma hochstetteri. RNAcentral describes it as "tRNA-Phe". The record is from RNAcentral. Lineage: Eukaryota; Metazoa; Chordata; Amphibia; Anura; Leiopelmatidae.
GCCAGCGUAGCUUACUCAAAAGCACAGCACUGAAGAUGCUGAGAAGGGUCAUAAUAACCCCGCAAGCA